Molecule: long non-coding RNA, 2065 nt
Filed under: Ananas comosus (pineapple)
Lineage: Eukaryota; Viridiplantae; Streptophyta; Magnoliopsida; Poales; Bromeliaceae
Description: long non-coding RNA (ACOM_LNC018592)
Source: RNAcentral
GUCUGCAGCUGACAUAAUUUUCUUGGCCGAAACAGACACUCCUUCAGUCACUCACUCCACUUUAGGAGAAGUUAAAAUAAUUCAAUCGCUGACUUUCGCGAUGAAUCACGCCUCUCGCGUCUUGCCUUCCUAAGAUUUGUCAAGCUUAAAGUUUUCUAUAUCCCAAUGGCCUAAUACUAAGCUCUGAUACCAACUUAAUCUGUCACGCCCCGGAUUACACGUUUCCCCAGACACGCCUACAAAUCCGUCGUAUGCAAAAAAAUUUUCCUGUAUACGAAGCGAUAGCUGUACUUGUAAACAAAUUCAAGCUACAACUAGUAGUACAGAGCUGCUAAUCUGAACUGGAUAUAAAUAAACAUUAGGUUCACAAUACAUACAAAAUCUUCCAGAUACAACAUCUCUCACUCUAGCGAGUAACAAGCAUAAGUAUGUAAAUGAACCAAAAACCAAAUCUACAUGUAGCUGGUACUCCUCUAGUAUUGCAACAAGGGAAGGGAUCUAGCUCGCGACUCCCUUUCUACGAUCAGAAUCUGCGACAACAGCAGUCGCAGAAGAAGGCUCUGCAAAAAGGGGUCAACAACUGAGUGUGAGAACUACUACAAAAGGUAAUCCUCAGUGUAUACCGCUAUCGACCUCAAUGGCUCACCCAUUAAGUCUACAGAAAAUAUGAUUAAGGAUAGUAAAGGAAAUUGAAAAAACUCUACACCUACAUGCCACUAUAUUAUCGCUAACCAAUAUUAGCUAUCUGUAGAUAUAAGUAAGAUGCAAUCUCUGACCCAAUCUCACUAGGGACUGUGAACACACUCGUCCCGCUUGUCGAAGCUACACUAACAACCACAAUGCUGGGUUGUUGGUAGGGAGCAAGUCCAACCAGGACACUACGACAACAAAGUAAAAAUAUUAAGCCCGACUCCAAAGUGGCACUUUUGGGCGUUACCCAACCGAGUAUGCAAACGUGUCUCUGCCGAGCUCAAUCAGGCUUUCACAGACUAUAGUCAAAGCAAAUGAGUUUAACUGGUCUAACAAUCAAAAUUCACGUGUCCUUGGCACAAUCCGAUGCAAAAAUAGCAAACUAGGUCGACUGUCAACCGCAACGGCACCCGACAGUCCAGAACAGUCUACACACUACUGUAAAAUAAACUCGGCAUCCCAACACGAGUGUAAACUCAUUCUACACUAAUCUGAAUAUCCACCGCAUACAAACCGUGACGAUUAAAACAAACUACAGCUCCUAAAUCUAAAUCUGGUAGUUUUCAGAAAAUGACAAUGUAGGAUCUAUCUGUUUUCUCCUAAGUCAAUUCCAGGUCCAACAUGUAAAAUUAAAUUACUAGCUUAACUCUAAAUUCAGAUGUAAAUACUAAUUCAUGAAUUCGAAUACUAGUAAGAAAAAUAGACGGAUGAUAUAUGUCGACAAAUACUAAAACUUAAAAGAUAUUCCGACGAUUUCGGUAAACUUCAACCCACCUUAAAACGCUCGUCCAACAAUGAUGAGAAGUCGAAAGGAGAGGAAAUCCCACGCUCGCCCGGCCUCCAACAGCGCUACCACGACGCACGCACGCUCGAACGGCUCUUCGGCGCAACGUCGACGUCGAUCCGAGCUCCAACCAUAGCCUCCACCAAGCACAUAACUAAAGCUAGAGAGAGAGAGAAGGAUAAUUAAGCUCCCCCACUGCCUCUCUAUCCUAAUUAAAGCAGUGGGGAUAAGAUUGAAAGGAUCAAGGCAACAAAAGAUCAAAAGGCCCUCACCUACUCAAACGGCUUCUCAACCCGCAAACUCACACACAGGGUACCGGUACCAGCCCGCUGCUGUUCCGAAACUUAGCAUCAAAUUGGCGCAACCCGAGAGCAGUCUAUUUGAAAAUACACUGGGGUAUCGGUACUCCACACUAAAAACCUGGACUUUACAGAUUCCAAUGUUAAAACUCUGCUCUCGCGUCGCACUGAGUCCGUUUUGCGUCUAUUUCACGCUAAAACGACUCCAACUUAUCCCGACACUUUCCAGAUGUGUCGACAAAUCUCAGAUGCUAAAAUCUCGCGGGCAAUCCCAAAAACCAGGGGUACCACA